UAGGGAAUCUUCCGCAAUGGGCGAAAGCCUGACGGAGCAACGCCGCGUGAGUGAUGAAGGUCUUCGGAUCGUAAAACUCUGUUAUUAGGGAAGAACAAAUGUGUAAGUAACUAUGCACGUCUUGACGGUACCUAAUCAGAAAGCCACGGCUAACUACGUGCCAGCAGCCGCGGUAAUACGCAGGUGGCAAGCGUUAUCCGGAAUCAUUGGGCGUAAAGCGCGCGUGGGCGGUUUUUUAAGUCUGAUGUGAAAGCCCACGGCUCAACCGUGGAGGGUCAUUGGAAACUGGAAAACUUGAGUGCAGAAGAGGAAAGUGGAAUUCCAUGUGUAGCGGUGAAAUGCGCAGAGAUAUGGAGGAACACCAGUGGCGAAGGCGACUUUCUGGUCUGUAACUGACGCUGAUGUGCGAAAGCGUGGGGAUCAAACAGG
Molecule: ribosomal RNA, 429 nt
Filed under: Actinomycetes bacterium
Lineage: Bacteria; Bacillati; Actinomycetota; Actinomycetes
Description: Actinobacteria bacterium partial 16S ribosomal RNA
Rfam family: Bacterial small subunit ribosomal RNA
Source: RNAcentral